CAGCGUGUAGCUCAGUCAGUCAGAGCGCCGGGCUCUCAACCCGGAGGGCGCGGGGGCGGAUCCCGCCACGCUGG
Molecule: transfer RNA, 74 nt
Filed under: Thermomonospora cellulosilytica
Lineage: Bacteria; Bacillati; Actinomycetota; Actinomycetes; Streptosporangiales; Thermomonosporaceae
Rfam family: tRNA
About the family: Transfer RNA (tRNA) molecules are approximately 80 nucleotides in length. Their secondary structure includes four short double-helical elements and three loops (D, anti-codon, and T loops). Further hydrogen bonds mediate the characteristic L-shaped molecular structure. tRNAs have two regions of fundamental functional importance: the anti-codon, which is responsible for specific mRNA codon recognition, and the 3' end, to which the tRNAs corresponding amino acid is attached (by aminoacyl-tRNA synthetases). tRNAs cope with the degeneracy of the genetic code in two manners: having more than one tRNA (with a specific anti-codon) for a particular amino acid; and 'wobble' base-pairing, i.e. permitting non-standard base-pairing at the 3rd anti-codon position.
Source: Rfam by way of RNAcentral